AACGAACGCUGGCGGCAUGCCUAACACAUGCAAGUCGAACGAGACCUUCGGGUCUAGUGGCGCACGGGUGCGUAACGCGUGGGAACCUGCCCUUAGGUUCGGAAUAACUCCCCGAAAGGGGUGCUAAUACCGGAUAAUGUCUUCGGACCAAAGAUUUAUCGCCUUUGGAUGGGCCCGCGUUUGAUUAGCUAGUUGGUAGGGUAAAAGCCUACCAAGGCGACGAGCCAUAGCUGGUCUGAGAGGAGGAUCAGCCACACUGGGACUGAGACACGGCCCAGACUCCUACGCGAGGCAGCAGUGGGGAAUAUUGGACAAUGGGCGAAAGCCUGAGACAGCAAUGCCGCGUGAGUGAUGAAGGCCUUAGGGUUGUAUAGCUCUUUUACCCGGGAUGAUAAUGACAGUACCGGGAGAAUAAGCGCCGGCUAACUCCGUG
This 433-nucleotide ribosomal RNA is filed under the name uncultured bacterium. Its description in RNAcentral is "partial 16S ribosomal RNA". It matches the Rfam family "Bacterial small subunit ribosomal RNA", at positions 29 to 507 of the family's 1533-position model. The record is from RNAcentral.